UGGUGGCUCAGUUGGUUAGAGCAUGGUGCUGAUAAUGCUGAGCUUGUGGGUUCAAUCCCCGUAUCGGCUAAU
This is a non-coding RNA of Podarcis lilfordi (Lilford's wall lizard), 72 nucleotides long. Lineage: Eukaryota; Metazoa; Chordata; Lepidosauria; Squamata; Lacertidae. The record is from the annotation of a GenBank genome assembly.